RNAcentral lists this ribosomal RNA (253 nucleotides) under uncultured bacterium. Its description in RNAcentral is "partial 16S ribosomal RNA". It matches the Rfam family "Bacterial small subunit ribosomal RNA", at positions 524 to 776 of the family's 1533-position model. The record is from RNAcentral.
UACAGAGACUGCAAGCGUUAUUCGGAUUUACUGGGCGUAAAGAGCGCGCAGGCGGUCGUGCAAGUCGCGUGUGAAAGCCCCCGGCUCAACUGGGGAGGGUCACUCGAUACUGAUCGACUCGAAGGCAGGAGAGGGAAGCGGAAUUCCCGGUGUAGUGGUGAAAUGCGUAGGUAUCGGGAGGAACACCAGUGGCGAAGGCGGCUUUCUGGCCUGCUCUUGACGCUGAGGCGCGAAAGCUAGGGUAGCAAACGGG